GAAUUAGCAGAAAUCGAAAGGUUUUUACCCAAAACUCCGCUCUGAUACCUCCUAAAGCGAAAUAGGCACGCGCACGGGUAGAGAGUCUGCCUGAGUCGUGCGGCCCCAGGUAACGCCUAGUUUAGUGUAGCACCUGGGUUCCGCCUUCUCCUUGCCUUGCCGAGUUUUGCUUCUGAUCUCUCUCUGACUCUCUAGUUCGUUACCUUUUACUACCGAUCUUCUCCCUCUGCUGCUACUGGAGCUAGCUUCGGUAGUUACACUUUCUGUCUCGCGUAAGAAAGAGAGUUUAGAGUGCCAUACAAAGAACGUGGGUGUAGCGAUAACCAAAGUGGACUCUACUAGAAAGUAAAGAUGAUGUGGUUCUUAAAAAGAAACAGUUAGAGAAGGUUCAAUUGGCCGAAAUGAAUUUCUAGAUUCGCAGAUUUGUCGACAUCAAGUUCGUAAAAAGAACCAAAUUCUUGUUGGCGAUUAUUUACGAUCAAAAAAAUAAAAUUCUGAAAACUCCUUUGUCUUAUUUAUACUCUUCUUCAAAAUCUACAUACUAUGUGGUACAAGGGAUUCCCAGCAUCUCGUGAAACAGUUAGAGAAGGUUCAAUUGGCCGAAAUGAAUUUCUAGAUUCGCA
Molecule: long non-coding RNA, 623 nt
Filed under: Nicotiana benthamiana
Lineage: Eukaryota; Viridiplantae; Streptophyta; Magnoliopsida; Solanales; Solanaceae
Description: long non-coding RNA (NBEN_LNC007005)
Source: RNAcentral